Molecule: ribosomal RNA, 415 nt
Filed under: uncultured bacterium
Lineage: Bacteria
Description: bacterial SSU rRNA
Rfam family: Bacterial small subunit ribosomal RNA
Source: RNAcentral
GUGUCAGCCGCCGCGGUAAUACGGAGGGUGCAAGCGUUAAUCGGAAUUACUGGGCGUAAAGCGUUCGUAGGCGGUUAUUUAAGUUAGAUGUGAAAGCCCCGGGCUUAACCUGGGAACUGCAUUUAAAACUGGGUAACUAGAGUUUAGGAGAGGGAAGUGGAAUUUCAGGUGUAGCAGUGAAAUGCGUAGAGAUCUGAAGGAACACCAGUGGCGAAGGCGACUUCCUGGACUAAAACUGACGCUGAGGAACGAAAGCGUGGGUAGCAAAACGGGAUUAGAUACCCCCGGUAGUCCACGCCGUAAACGAUGUCAACUAGCCGUUGGGCCUAUAUACAGGUUUAGUGGCGGAGCUAACGUAUUAAGUUGACCGCCUGGGGAGUACGGCCGCAAGGUUAAAACUCAAAGGAAUUGACGG